Molecule: unclassified non-coding RNA, 157 nt
Filed under: soil metagenome
Description: partial internal transcribed spacer 1
Source: RNAcentral
CCGAGUUUACAACUCCCAAACCCACUGUGAACCAUACAACUGUUUGUUGCCUUCGGCGGGGCCUCACGCCCCGGGUGCGAGCAGCCCCAGAGGACCCAAACAAACUCUUUGAUUUUGAUCUAGGAUUUUACUUCUGAGUGAUAUACAAAAUAAAUCA